This is a small nucleolar RNA of Cebus imitator (Panamanian white-faced capuchin), 149 nucleotides long. The record is from Ensembl. Lineage: Eukaryota; Metazoa; Chordata; Mammalia; Primates; Cebidae.
CCUCCUUUUCUUGGCAGGGACCGGACUUGUGGACCCGCUCCCCGUAAAGUACGGAGGAAGAGGGAAAGCACUCUGGCACCCUCGGCGUCAUGUCUCUGGUGCCGGUGGCUUCCCACUCGCUGGUUCUAUCUUCAAGCGCCGAGACACCU